RNAcentral lists this transfer RNA (66 nucleotides) under Bipalium kewense. Its description in RNAcentral is "tRNA-Trp". The record is from RNAcentral. Lineage: Eukaryota; Metazoa; Platyhelminthes; Tricladida; Geoplanidae.
AAGAUUUUAAGUUAAAAAAACUUUAAAUUUUCAAAAUUUAAUAUGGCUUUAUUUAGUCAAAUCUUA